AUUCCAUUUAUUUCUCUUUUUUAAACAAACAAAAUGACCUGUCCAUAAACUAUACCUCUGUACAGUAUUCUUGCAAAGAAUUUCCGUUUCCCAGGAAUCAUGAUGUGAGUUUAGAUUGCUUGGCUCUAGCAGUAGGUUUGGUGAAGAAGUUCUCUUGUUCUAUUCCUACUCUAUCUGGACAUAUAAUAGUCUUCACAGACAGCACAAGAUCAUCUCAGACAAUCUCUUCUUUUGGUGCCUUUCUGCCAGAAGACAUUCAAGGACUCCAGUUCAGACUUUGUCUUCACAAUCAAAAAAACCAGUUUUGCUGCAGAAAGGCUGUCAGGACAACAGUCUAGGCUGGUUUUCUAAGUCAAGAAAGGUACUGAUCCUGAAAAGAAAGGCCAAAAAAUCUAGGACUCUAAUGACGUGAGUGGAUGAAUGAAGCUGCAUGAACUUUGUCUGGAAGGAAAGUGGAGGAAGAGAUGGCUUGAUUACAGAAAAGUUUGAAAGUAGAAACUUUUUUUUUCUUCUAAUUUGGUUCAUUGAAUCAUUUGUAUACACUUUUACAAAUGACCAGUAAAUUAAACUCCUAAAAACUGCCAUUUGUAACUAUUCCAAACUGCCAGUUUGAAUGGUCUAUGAAGAUAUCUUUCCAUCCACACCACUUCCCCUGCCACUUUCAGUUAAGAUUGGAUCCUGAUGGAUAGCAUCAUUUUGUCACAUUGUGGCACUCUUUAUAAAUAGCAUAAUGCAGUGAUGUACAGUGCACUGACAAUUGCAGUUUUAGUAGCUAUUGGGAGAGCUAAAAAUGAACAUUUUCCAUAAUCUAGAUCGUUUACUUUGGCGGCUGGGCUUUCUGCACAUCUCCAGUAUGUAUUCCCAUAAGAUAUUAAAAAGGAUGUAUAUGUUUUUAUUAUAUUGUGUAUACACUUUGGUAGGUGUAAAAUAAGUUUACAUUUUAAAUGCAUUUGUGCUACUAUCAGAGAAAAGCAAAACAAAAUAAAUUGAUGCCAGGGGAAAUGUCA
This 1007-nucleotide long non-coding RNA is filed under the name Cyanistes caeruleus (blue tit). RNAcentral's name for it is "lncRNA (ENSCCEG00000024417.1)". The record is from RNAcentral. Lineage: Eukaryota; Metazoa; Chordata; Aves; Passeriformes; Paridae.